This is an RNA transcript of Prunus dulcis (almond), 3006 nucleotides long. It is a transcript of the gene named WPP domain-associated protein-like, with no coding region annotated. The record is from RefSeq and is a predicted model, not a curated record. NCBI's taxonomy places the organism in Eukaryota, Viridiplantae, Streptophyta, Magnoliopsida, Rosales, Rosaceae. The transcript has 6 exons.
GUUGAGAAAAGAAUAGUUAAAAAGCUGAAUAUUAUAGUUCAUUUUGGUAUUUGAACUUGUUUUACUAAGCAUCUACAAAAGUAGUUUGUCCAAGCAUACAAGCAAAGGAACUGUUUAGUAAACAAUCAUGUUUGUCAUCAUCACUUUCACUUGCGAUGUUUCUUUAUCUUUCUUCAUCAUCACCUGAUUCAGCCUUCUUCACUGUUCGACAAGUCUGCAUAGUAAAUUGGUAUUUGUUGGGGCCUAAGUGAUAACUUUCUGGGGAUUAUACAUUGUUAGUGGGUAUUCUGUACAAUGUCUUGCUGGUAAUGUUCUUUCUAUAUGCGAAAGAAUCUAAGAAGCUGCGGAGAGUUUAUAAAUCAUGAGUAACGGUGUUCAGUCGUGCAACGGAGGGUUGCAGCUUAGCAAUGAUGUGAAGAAGAAUGAUAAUGGGGAUGUUGACCUUGUUGAGGAAUUUGAUUCUUAUUGGCAAGAUAUCAAUUACCGGUUGACCGUGUCUAGGGUGGUGAGUGACACAGUCAUCAAGGGUAUGGUACAAGAGGCAGCAGAGAAAAUUGCUGAUAAAGAACUAGAGGUGACUAAAUUGAAAGAAAUGUUACAUGUUUACCAUGAGGGUGUUGAAAAUGAAUUCUUGGCGUCUUUAGCAAUGCGCCAGGAGUCAAACAGACUUAUUAAACAAGGUACCAAAGACAAGAUGCAUCCUAGCUCUCUUGAAGCUAUUUUAGAGCACGAAAGAAUAGAACAAUCUUUGAGCAGCUUAAGAGGAGCAACUAAAGAGGAGUUUAAGAAUCUCGAGGCAGAAAUUGAUAGCAUAAGAGGCAGCUCAGUUAAGAUAAUUUCUGAGUUGUUGGGUUUGAGUGACAUACAGCAAGAUAUAGUUUCUGACAGAUGGAUUGGUGUAGAUAGGACGCUGAAUUGUCUAAAGAGUGCAAUAGAAACUGGCUUUCAAGAGGUGGAACAAAUGGUUCGCUUGUCAAAGGCUGAUGUACGUGAGUGGCAACAGGAACAGGAGUUUAAAGCAGAAAUUGAAGCAUUUGUGAUGAGGAAUUGCAUUUGGAGAUUCGAAGAAAAAAUUUGGGACCAGUUUUAUAGUGAUAAAAAUGUGAAUGGGCAUGGAAGGAUGAAAGAGAGGAUAUCAGGUUUACAGCAGGAAUUGGACGCCAUUUCUAUAUCACUAUCUGUUUCUGACUUUGGGCAGCUAUCUUCUCAUGUAUCUUUGGAAGGUGACGAAGAAAGUAAUAAUUUUAAGAAGGGAGACCGUCCCCACCGGAAGGUUUUGAACGAUCUUAAAUCAUCAUCUCCAUCUCCAGCAACAUCAUCACCAACAUCAACAUCAUCACCAACAUCAACAUCAUCAUCAUCAUCAUCAUCAUCAUCAUCAUCUAGUUGGGAAGAAAAUGGCGCGCAUGAUAAGUCAGAAAUAAACAUGUCAAGAGAUGAACUGAUAAAUUAUUCUAAUACUGAGAUGACUGAGUUGAAGAGAAAUCGUGAGUCUAAAAUGCAAGAUAUGACUGAACAACUGUUCAGCCUCAGGAGGGAAUUGUUGAAAGAACGGGGAUCUUCUUUGCCAUCAAAGAAGAAUAAGGAGUUUGACAUGCUGAGGAGGAGAAUAUCUGAGGUUAUUUCUAAAUUAGAUGACAUUCUUGUCGAAAAUGAGCCAAAAGCUACAUUUGGUAUCGAUGAAGAAAGUCUUAGCCGUUUGAAAGACAGACGGGAAUCACUCCUUUCAGAAAACGCCCAGCUCAGAGAUUUGCUCACAGAUAAGAAGAGGGAAAUUAAGUGCCUUUCACUACAAGUUUCUGAAGCUGCAGAGAAAAUGUCAGAGCACAAUGGUGAAUCUUCUAGCCAUCUCUUUCUGGCAGAAGCAAAGGAGCGAUUGGAACAAGAUGCAGCAGCUGCCUUGGAAAAGGAAAAGGAGCGAUAUGAAUUAGCUGCUCAAGAGCUUGAAAAUUUAAGGGGUGAAAUUGAACAUUUGAAUAUGGAGUCCAUCAUCAUGCAAGAAAUAGUUGUAGUUAUAUUCAGAGAAGCCUUGAAGGAUGCUGAGAUGGAAAAUCUAGAAAAAGGAAAACAACUAGAAGUUGAGGUUGCAAACAAAGAAAAGUUGAACCAAAAAAUACUCUUUCUGGCAGAAGCAAAGAAGCGAUUGGAACAAGAGGCAGCAGCUGCCUUGGAAAAGGAAAAGGAGCGAUGUGAACUAGCUGCUCAAGAGCUUGAAAAUUUAAGGGGUGAAUCAAAUGCUGCACAUCGUAAUUUGGUUGAAAGACAUAAGGCAGAUAUUUGCAAGUUAGAUCAGAUGCUUCUUGAUGUCAACCAAGAGAAGCAGAAUGCUGUGUCUUUGUUUGAAGCAAAAGAAAGGGAGUUCAAGCAGCAAUUGAAAUCAUUAGUUGUCUAUAGCCGUGGAUUAUUGAGAGCGAUUACUGAUUUUGAAUGUAGAGUAACACAAGAUAUUUCAGGAAAAUCUUCAAGGUUGAAGAUUUUGAGUUCUCAAUCGCGUUCGCUUAAACAAAAAGCUAAAGUACUUGUAAAAAGAAAGAUUCUAUACAAGCAGGGAUUUGAAAGGAAAUGUUCUGACCUUGAAAAAGCUGAAGCCGAGGUAUGUAAAUCAGAUAGGUUGAUCUUUUGGGGCAGGAGGUGGACAGUCUAUCGAGCUUGGUUGAAAAAAUAUACAUGGCCCUUGAUCAUUAUUCACCAAUAUUGCAACAUUAUUUUGGAAUACCUGAGAUCUUGAAGCUCAUAAGAGGAAAAUUACAUGGACAAACUAAAGCAGUUUGAUCUACCUUUUGACUCGAUAAGGUUUCAAUUAUGGGCUAAUCCUCGAGGUGACAAGAAUCGAAUGCAGGUAACCAAGGUCAAAGAAAGAUGCUUCAUUUACAGUUGUGGUGUGUUUAGUUUUCAUUGUGUUGUAUGUGAAUAAAUUUAUAGUUGUAAUAAGCACUGAGGGAGCCAUUUAUGUAAUAUGUUGAAUUUCAAUUUAUUAUGUAAAUAUGUAGUGUAAUAUUUGACUCA